GACAGUGUUCUCUACCCAUUCAUUGAUCCUUUCAGCAAAUACAUGUGGCCUUAGCGUCCUGAAUUCUGACACUGGCCUAUGCAGUUCCCUAGAGUGGGUGCUGUGAAUAGAAGCAUCAGAGCCAUCAGAGGUUUCUGAUUUCUUGGCCUCACCUUCAGAACAGCUGAACAUCAGCUCUAGGAAGUGGGACCAAGCAACGUGUAUCUAUCUUCCCUGGCUUCCUGGGUGAUGCUUAUUCCCCGAGAUUGGCGACUCUGCCCCAGUGGAACAAGCAUGAGCAGGGCACAAGCACUCCUUGUCUCUGAGGAACUUCAAUUGCAUACUUCUUGCAACUUUGUGAUGAAAAAGCAGAAAACCAGCUGGUAAAGAAAAAAUGUGUAGAGCCCCAGCUCAGUCAUCACAGCACAGCUCAGCAGGGAAAUUGGAACAAAAUAGAAUAUGUACUUUUAAACUUCACAUAAAGAAAAAUCCACCAGCACAGAGGAGGAGGCUCCUGAGUCAAUAUGCCACUGCUCCCAGCACAGAGGAGGAGUCUUCUGGGUUGAUGUGCCACUGCACCCAGUGCAGAGGAGGAGGCUUUUGGGUCAAUGUACCACCACUCCCAGCACAGAAGAGGAAGCUUCCUGGCUGCCACACCACUGUUCCCAGCACUGAGGAUGAGGCUUCAAGGCAUCCAUAACACCACUCUCAGCACAGAGGAGCAGCCUUCCAGGCUGCCAUAGCACUGCUCCCAGCACAGAGGAGGUGAGCCUCGCAGGUGCCAUCAGCAACCAACCCAAACCCCAUCGAAAUGAGAAGACACAUAAACAAGCCUGAAAACAAGACUUCCAUAUCACCUAGAGCAACCCAAAAAAGCAACUAAGUGGAGCACUCUGAUACUCAACCACCUGGAGGCCCUGAACUGGCAAAAAAAAGAGGAUCUUGAAAAGGAAAUUAGAAAUACUUUCUCAGAUAACAGCAGAAAUUGUGCUCCUUGUGCAAGACAUGAUUAAUAAAUCAAGAGAGGAGCUGAGGAACAUGAUGGAAUUCCAACAUAGGAAACAAAUGAAAUCCAUAAAACAG
Molecule: long non-coding RNA, 1062 nt
Filed under: Heterocephalus glaber (naked mole-rat)
Lineage: Eukaryota; Metazoa; Chordata; Mammalia; Rodentia; Bathyergidae
Description: lncRNA (ENSHGLG00000028830.2)
Source: RNAcentral